Molecule: ribosomal RNA, 422 nt
Filed under: Parapodacanthus hasenpuschorum
Lineage: Eukaryota; Metazoa; Arthropoda; Insecta; Phasmatodea; Phasmatidae
Description: partial 16S ribosomal RNA
Rfam family: Bacterial large subunit ribosomal RNA (bases 275-422)
Source: RNAcentral
GGACUUGUAUGAAUGGUUGGACGAAAUAUUAACUGUCUCAUUAAGAUUUAAUUAAAAUUUAAAUUUUAAGUUAAAAUGCUUAAAUUUAUUUACAGGACGAGAAGACCCUAUAGAUCUUUAUUUGUUAUUUUAUUUAUAUUGGUUUGGUUUAUUUUUCUUUUAUAUUAUUUCAUUUUUUGUUGGGGUGACAUGGAGAUUAACUCUUUAUUUUAUUUUACAAUUAUUUUUGUUUUAUUGACCUUUUAUUAUUGUUAUAAGAUUUAGAUACCUUAGGGAUAACAGCGUAAUUCUGUUUGAGAGUUCAAAUCGACAAUGGAGAUUGCGACCUCGAUGUUGGAUUAAGAUUAUAGUUAGGUGUAGAUGUUUAACUAUUAGGUCUGUUCGACCUUUAAAUUCUUACAUGAUCUGAGUUCAAACCGGAG